UUAUGUCUUUGUUCUGAGAAACUUAUAAAUGUGUAGUUUUGUGUUUUAACAUAUUGGUAUCUGAAUUCAAAGAAAAAAUAUAAAAUUUUUUAUGAAAAAAUUGAAUCUUCAAUCAUCGUUUACUGAAUCAAUAAUAGUAUGUUCAAUAUUAAUAUGGACUAUCUCAACUUAAAUUGAUAUUUGUUAUUGUCUACAACUACACUUCUACCAACGUCAAAUUUGGUGUAUUAUAUUAUUGUAGUCAAUCAGUCUAAACUAAUUCCAUCAAUACAUUGUCGAAUGUUGUGGUAUUCAAUUUUCAGUAAAUUUAUAGGUGUUUUAUUUUAAGUUACUGUGGCACACUAUUGCAGAUAACGGUUUUCCAUUAAGUCAGUAAGAAGAAUAAGAUGGAUUCACAAGUUCAAAUCAAAUAUUAGACAACUAUAUAUAUUUAUUUAUUCAGCUAAAAAUGUAAUUCAAUAAAAUAAUUUAAAAGUACUUUAUCAUUUUAAAAGUGACAUAAAGUUUUUAAACUCUAAGUAUU
Adelges cooleyi (spruce gall adelgid) is the source of this 523-nucleotide long non-coding RNA. RefSeq lists it as uncharacterized. NCBI's taxonomy places the organism in Eukaryota, Metazoa, Arthropoda, Insecta, Hemiptera, Adelgidae. The transcript has 3 exons. The record is from RefSeq and is a predicted model, not a curated record.